This is a long non-coding RNA of Phyllostomus discolor (pale spear-nosed bat), 490 nucleotides long. RefSeq lists it as uncharacterized. NCBI's taxonomy places the organism in Eukaryota, Metazoa, Chordata, Mammalia, Chiroptera, Phyllostomidae. The transcript has 3 exons. The record is from RefSeq and is a predicted model, not a curated record.
GAGAGGACAGCUUAAGAUCAGACGGCUGAGGGACAGUGGUAGAACCUGCGGAGUAGGUGGGGAGCUCACCCGCAAGGAGGAAGGGGACCGCGGCUGCCCGAGAGUGAGGAGAAGCGUGGGGUCCAGGUGUCAGACCACCAGCACCUUCUGUAGCUAAAACGGCAAAGCCGGCGGAAGCACCCGCUGCGACGGCGACACUGCGCGCAGGUGGCAGUAUAGAAGCCAAAAUGGAAUCUUCUAGAAGUGGUUUCUGAAAAAUAAGUACAUAUACACAAGUAAGCAAGCACAAGAAUCUGAAAAACCACAGGCUGUGGAUGGGAUGUCAGGCAAAUGGAGUUGAAUUCAUGUCAGAAUUACCUGCAAAGUCCACAAAUGGUAAGUCAAGUUAAUAGUUUACUAGGAUUUUAUGGCUUGCUUUUUACUUACUUCAGUUGCUUUCCAUUUAACCUUUAAUAGGAACAUACUUAAGUUUGUUAAUGUUUUAUGGUAU